This 23-nucleotide microRNA is filed under the name Xenopus tropicalis (tropical clawed frog). RNAcentral's name for it is "Xtr-Mir-17-P1c_3p* (star (passenger))". The record is from RNAcentral. Lineage: Eukaryota; Metazoa; Chordata; Amphibia; Anura; Pipidae.
ACUGCACCAUAAGCACUUCCUGC